RNAcentral lists this ribosomal RNA (253 nucleotides) under uncultured bacterium. RNAcentral's name for it is "partial 16S ribosomal RNA". It matches the Rfam family "Bacterial small subunit ribosomal RNA", at positions 524 to 776 of the family's 1533-position model. The record is from RNAcentral.
UACGAAGGGUGCAAGCGUUGCUCGGAAUUAUUGGGCGUAAAGGGCAGGUAGGUGGUCUUAUUUGUCUAGGGUGAAAUCCCAGGGCCUAACCCUGGAAGUGCCUUAGAAACGGUAGGACUAGAGUUCUAGAGAGGGUCGUGGAAUUCCCGGUGUAGCGGUGAAAUGCGUAGAGAUCGGGAGGAACACCAGAAGCGAAGGCGACGACCUGGAUAGAUACUGACACUCAACUGCGAAAGCGUGGGGAGCAAACAGG